This 315-nucleotide ribosomal RNA is filed under the name uncultured bacterium. Its description in RNAcentral is "bacterial SSU rRNA". It matches the Rfam family "Bacterial small subunit ribosomal RNA", at positions 28 to 334 of the family's 1533-position model. The record is from RNAcentral.
GAUGAACGCUGGCUACAGGCUUAACACAUGCAAGUCGAGGGGCAUCAGGAAGAAAGCUUGCUUUCUUUGCUGGCGACCGGCGCACGGGUGAGUAACGCGUGGGUAACCUGCCUCAUACAGGGGGAUAACAGUUAGAAAUGACUGCUAAUACCGCAUAAGCGCACAGUGCUGCAUGGCACGGUGUGAAAAACUCCGGUGGUAUGAGAUGGACCCGCGUCUGAUUAGCUAGUUGGUGGGGUAACGGCCUACCAAGGCGACGAUCAGUAGCCGGCCUGAGAGGGUGAACGGCCACAUUGGGACUGAGACACGGCCCAA